UUAUGUAUGUCAUUUUAAAGUCACAAUCUUUAUAUUAUUCUUUUUCUUAUAUUUUUAUUUGGUAUUGUUAUAAUUGUCCUACAUAAAUUUUGUUUAAAUUGAUAUCAAAGGCAAUGCAAAUUUGUUUAUUUUUCUAAUGGUGUAUCAAUCAUGAUUCACAUAAUCAUUGUAAAAUAAGUUACAAAAAUUUUUUUUUUUAAACUUAUAAGUUUAGACCAUUUUGCCAAGACUUCAAGUGAGACUCAAAGAGUCUUGUUUUUGUUGGUAGCUUAGACUUCUGAAGAACUCAUUUUAGU
This is a non-coding RNA of Biomphalaria pfeifferi, 296 nucleotides long. NCBI's taxonomy places the organism in Eukaryota, Metazoa, Mollusca, Gastropoda, Planorbidae. The record is from the annotation of a GenBank genome assembly.